GAGAGGUCCAAACGUUAUUCGGAAUUACUGGGCUUACAGAGUUCGUAGGCGGCUCUACAAGUGAGGUGUGAAAGCCCUCGGCUCAACCGAGGAACUGCGCUUCAAACUGUAGAACUAGAGGGAGAUAGAGGUGAGCAGAACUGAUGGUGGAGCGGUGAAAUGCGUUGAUGUCAUCAGGAAUACCGGAGGCGAAGGCGGCUCACUGGGUCUCUUCUGACGCUGAGGAACGAAAGCUAGGGGAGCAAACGGGAUUAGAUACCCCGGUAGUCCUAGCCGUAAACGAUGAGCACUGGGCCGGAGCUCUGCACAGGGUUUCGGCCGUAGCGAAAGUGUUAAGUGCUCCGCCUGGGGAGUAUGGUCGCAAGGCUG
RNAcentral lists this ribosomal RNA (369 nucleotides) under uncultured bacterium. RNAcentral describes it as "bacterial SSU rRNA". It matches the Rfam family "Bacterial small subunit ribosomal RNA", at positions 527 to 896 of the family's 1533-position model. The record is from RNAcentral.